GGUUAAGCGACUAAGCGUACACGGUGGAUGCCCUGGCAGUCAGAGGCGAUGAAGGACGUGCUAAUCUGCGAAAAGCGCCGGCGAGGUGAUAUGAACCUUUGACCCGGCGAUGUCCGAAUGGGGAAACCCAGUGUGAUUCGUCACACUAUCGUUAACUGAAUACAUAGGUUAACGAGGCGAACCGGGGGAACUGAAACAUCUAAGUACCCCGAGGAAAAGAAAUCAACCGAGAUUCCCCCAGUAGCGGCGAGCGAACGGGGAGCAGCCCAGAGUCUGAAUCAGCUUGUGUGUUAGUGGAACGGUCUGGAAAGUCCGGCGAUACAGGGUGACAGCCCCGUACACGAAAGCACACAGGUUGUGAACUCGAAGAGUAGGGCGGGACACGUGGUAUCCUGUCUGAAUAUGGGGGACCAUCCUCCAAGGCUAAAUACUCCUGACUGACCGAUAGUGAACCAGUACCGUGAGGGAAAGGCGAAAAGAACCCCGGCGAGGGGAGUGAAAAAGAACCUGAAACCGUGUACGUACAAGCAGUGGGAGCACCUUCGUGGUGUGACUGCGUACCUUUUGUAUAAUGGGUCAGCGACUUAUAUUCUGUAGCAAGGUUAACCGUAUAGGGGAGCCGAAGGGAAACCGAGUCUUAACUGGGCGUUAAGUUGCAGGGUAUAGACCCGAAACCCGGUGAUCUAGCCAUGGGCAGGUUGAAGGUUGGGUAACACUAACUGGAGGACCGAACCGACUAAUGUUGAAAAAUUAGCGGAUGACUUGUGGCUGGGGGUGAAAGGCCAAUCAAACCGGGAGAUAGCUGGUUCUCCCCGAAAGCUAUUUAGGUAGCGCCUCGUGAACUCAUCUUCGGGGGUAGAGCACUGUUUCGGCUAGGGGGCCAUCCCGGCUUACCAACCCGAUGCAAACUACGAAUACCGAAGAAUGUUAUCACGGGAGACACACGGCGGGUGCUAACGUCCGUCGUGAAGAGGGAAACAACCCAGACCGCCAGCUAAGGUCCCAAAGUCAUGGUUAAGUGGGAAACGAUGUGGGAAGGCACAGACAGCCAGGAUGUUGGCUUAGAAGCAGCCAUCAUUUAAAGAAAGCGUAAUAGCUCACUGGUCGAGUCGGCCUGCGCGGAAGAUGUAACGGGGCUAAACCAUGCACCGAAGCUGCGGCAGCGACGCUUAUGCGUUGUUGGGUAGGGGAGCGUUCUGUAAGCCGUUGAAGGUGUGCUGUGAGGCAUGCUGGAGGUAUCAGAAGUGCGAAUGCUGACAUAAGUAACGAUAAAGCGGGUGAAAAGCCCGCUCGCCGGAAGACCAAGGGUUCCUGUCCAACGUUAAUCGGGGCAGGGUGAGUCGACCCCUAAGGCGAGGCCGAAAGGCGUAGUCGAUGGGAAACAGGUUAAUAUUCCUGUACUUGGUGUUACUGCGAAGGGGGACGGAGAAGGCUAUGUUAGCCGGGCGACGGUUGUCCCGGUUUAAGCAUGUAGGCGGAGGUUCCAGGUAAAUCCGGUACCUUUUAACGCUGAGGUGUGAUGACGAGGCACUACGGUGCUGAAGUAACAAAUGCCCUGCUUCCAGGAAAAGCCUCUAAGCAUCAGGUAACAUCAAAUCGUACCCCAAACCGACACAGGUGGUCAGGUAGAGAAUACCAAGGCGCUUGAGAGAACUCGGGUGAAGGAACUAGGCAAAAUGGUGCCGUAACUUCGGGAGAAGGCACGCUGAUAUGUAGGUGAAGCCCCUGCGGGUGGAGCUGAAAUCAGUCGAAGAUACCAGCUGGCUGCAACUGUUUAUUAAAAACACAGCACUGUGCAAACACGAAAGUGGACGUAUACGGUGUGACGCCUGCCCGGUGCCGGAAGGUUAAUUGAUGGGGUUAGCGGCAACGCGAAGCUCUUGAUCGAAGCCCCGGUAAACGGCGGCCGUAACUAUAACGGUCCUAAGGUAGCGAAAUUCCUUGUCGGGUAAGUUCCGACCUGCACGAAUGGCGUAAUGAUGGCCAGGCUGUCUCCACCCGAGACUCAGUGAAAUUGAACUCGCUGUGAAGAUGCAGUGUACCCGCGGCAAGACGGAAAGACCCCGUGAACCUUUACUAUAGCUUGACACUGAACACUGGUCCUUGAUGUGUAGGAUAGGUGGGAGGCUUUGAAGCGUGGACGCCAGUCUGCGUGGAGCCGACCUUGAAAUACCACCCUUUAAUGGCUGGUGUUCUAACGUAGACCCGUAAUCCGGGUUGCGGACAGUGUCUGGUGGGUAGUUUGACUGGGGCGGUCUCCUCCCAAAGAGUAACGGAGGAGCACGAAGGUUAGCUAAUCCUGGUCGGACAUCAGGAGGUUAGUGCAAUGGCAUAAGCUAGCUUGACUGCGAGAGUGACGGCUCGAGCAGGUGCGAAAGCAGGUCAUAGUGAUCCGGUGGUUCUGAAUGGAAGGGCCAUCGCUCAACGGAUAAAAGGUACUCCGGGGAUAACAGGCUGAUACCGCCCAAGAGUUCAUAUCGACGGCGGUGUUUGGCACCUCGAUGUCGGCUCAUCACAUCCUGGGGCUGAAGUAGGUCCCAAGGGUAUGGCUGUUCGCCAUUUAAAGUGGUACGCGAGCUGGGUUUAGAACGUCGUGAGACAGUUCGGUCCCUAUCUGCCGUGGGCGCUGGAGAAUUGAGGGGGGCUGCUCCUAGUACGAGAGGACCGGAGUGGACGCAUCACUGGUGUUCGGGUUGUCAUGCCAAUGGCACUGCCCGGUAGCUAAAUGCGGAAAAGAUAAGUGCUGAAAGCAUCUAAGCACGAAACUUGCCCCGAGAUGAGUUCUCCCUGACCCUUUAAGGGUCCUGAAGGAACGUUGAAGACUACGACGUUGAUAGGUCGGGUGUGUAAGCGCAGCGAUGCGUUGAGCUAACCGAUACUAAUGAACCGUGAGGCUUAACCUU
Molecule: ribosomal RNA, 2903 nt
Filed under: Enterobacter asburiae
Lineage: Bacteria; Pseudomonadati; Pseudomonadota; Gammaproteobacteria; Enterobacterales; Enterobacteriaceae
Description: 23S ribosomal RNA
Rfam family: Bacterial large subunit ribosomal RNA
Source: RNAcentral